Molecule: unclassified non-coding RNA, 346 nt
Filed under: soil metagenome
Description: partial contains 5.8S ribosomal RNA, internal transcribed spacer 2, and large subunit ribosomal RNA
Rfam family: 5.8S ribosomal RNA (bases 1-120)
Source: RNAcentral
GAUGAAGAACGUAGCAAAAUGCGAUAAGUAAUGUGAAUUGCAGAAUUCAGUGAAUCAUCGAAUCUUUGAACGCACAUUGCGCCCGCCAGUAUUCUGGCGGGCAUGCCUGCUCGAGCGUCAUUUCAACCCUCAAGCCCUCGGGUUUGGUGUUGGGGAUCGGCGAGCCUUUCUGGCAAGCCGGCCCCGAAAUCUAGUGGCGGUCUCGCUGCAGCCUCCAUUGCGUAGUAGUAAAACCCUCGCAACUGGAACGCGGCGCGGCCAAGCCGUUAAACCCCCAACUUCUGAAUGUUGACCUCGGAUCAGGUAGGAAUACCCGCUGAACUUAAGCAUAUCAAUAAGCGGAGGA